Molecule: long non-coding RNA, 340 nt
Organism: Prosopis cineraria
Lineage: Eukaryota; Viridiplantae; Streptophyta; Magnoliopsida; Fabales; Fabaceae
Exons: 3
Source: RefSeq, a predicted model, not a curated record
UAGAGGAAAUUGCAACUUUUGGCCCAAAGGUUUGAAUAAUUAAAUUCAAACCUAUAGUUUUUUUUAAUAUAAUUUUGGGACUCACAAUCCCAUUUUUAUAUUAUUUUUCUCUCUUCCUCUCACGUUGCUCGGCGUUUUCUCGCAAGGGGGGAUUAUUUUCUUUUUCUUCAGAUUAUAUUGACAAAGAUAGUGGUGAAAAAGGAGUUGUGAAGGGGAACUUGUUAUUCAAGACACAAGGAGCGAGUCCGGCCGAGAAAGCACCAGAGGUGUAACUGUGGUGUAUGAGACACCAUCUUUUACGUUGCCUCUUAUUUUAGAUUAUACAAUGUAUCUUGUGCCA